UGUUAGUUAAUUUGCUGUUGGGGGUUUUAUGGGAGCUAAGUACAGAGGGAACUGAGUAGUGACUCCCUUAGCAAAAUUAGUUUGUGAAAUGUACUGUGGGUCUAUUUAUUUCUAACUAAGAAUAUGCAUAGCUUAAACUUUUUGUGUAAAAAUCAUAGAAAUGGGAAACUGAUUUAUACUUGGUAUACAUAAGGGUUUUAAGUAUAUCUAGCCUACACUUAUACUUAGAUUUAUACUUAGAGACUGUAUAUGUAGUAUAGUAUAUUUCUACUGAAGGAAAGGUUUAAGGAUACUUAUUUAACUAUAGCUAGAGGUUGGGAUAGAUAGAUGGAUGCUUUAUUUAUCCCAAAGGGGAAAUUCAAGAAUGAAUGUUGAAUGUUGAGAGGAGGUAUGAUAAGGUAUGAUACAGUUAAUUUCAUAAAAUGCAUUUAGUACAUUUUAAUAUUACCCUUUUGAUAAAGUUACAGUGCUAAAGGAUAUUAAAAUACAUGGAGACAAUUAACUGGAAGUAUGUUUUGGUGGUGAGGAAUGGCAUAAUAUAUUAGACCAUUCACUGUGGAAUGCAGCAUAUGGACAGUAAGAGCUUCAAAGUUAUAGAAUUAUAUAAGAUAAUUACUCUAGUAAUGUUUAGAGAAACUGGGUAAGCUGACUAAUGGUAAAGGGAAUGCCAUGGUCAACCAAGUAAGUAUGGAAAUUUGAUAGUCACCUAUAAGGUAAUAAGUAGUGUUACAGAAACCCCAGGCUAAAGUAAAAUGACUUAGUGUAAAGUGCAAUUCCCCAUUCUGAUAGUUAAAGAGACCAAAAGGGAUCAGUUGGUAAACAGUACAAUGAAAAAGUGUUGCAGAAAAGUGGUUGAGAGAAUGAGGAAAUAUACAGAUUUAUGGCCUAUACAAGAAUUAAUGGAUUUAGCACUGUUACAAAGAUCAGGGAUUACAUGAAAAUUGACAAUAGUAGAGCUAUAAGAAGAAUAGGUCAGUCAUAGUGGAAAUAGUAGGAGAAAGAGGUAUUUAAAAUGCUCAAAAACAUCUUGACAUCUUGAUAGAUUAAUACAAUAGGAGAUAAGAGGCAGAAGUAAGGAGAUGACUUGGGAGUGAGUGACCAUGACUGUAGGAAUAAUAAUAGAUGCAGAUGUUAUAGGAAGAUAUAAGGGAUAAAAUGUACAGUUAAUGGUAAAUUACAAAAGGGCAAGAUAAAGUAGAUGAUAGAUAGAGAGUAAUCUAGUAAAUACUACAAGCUGACUGCAGCAUGAUUUCCUCAUUCCCUCCAGCUAAACAGUAAAUGUAAUGCUGCCUCUUAUAUCUAAGGGGGGAAAGGCUCAUUACCAGCCGUGUGAGGACAUGCUGAUGUGCAGGGGUUAAUCCAAGUACUCCCUGUCCUGACUGAGUUCUGAGCAAGUUCAGCACAACAGUGCUGAGCGACAAACUGAAAAGAGAUAAGGACUCUGAGGCCUUUGUUAAGGCAACAGUGGCAAGCUGGAGAGCAAAGAGGGAACUUGGAAGUGCAAUGGAAGCGCUUGCAGCAUCAAAAAGACAAUACAGGCACCUAUGGUGACCUAAGGCUUCAGGUCUGGGGAAACCAGUAGCAGCACCAUCCUCAACACUAUGGCAGUAGGAGCAACCAUCACAGGUGUUCCCAAACCUGUCAGUCUACUGGCCUAUGGAUACCUAUUAUAGUGGGCACAGUCAAGCCCAUGGCAGCCACAAUCUCCACGUCAGAGGGGGUGGAGACUAAGACAAGAUGGGAAUAACUAAGGCAGAGUGAGAGGCAAUUACAGAGGAGACAUCAUGUGAGAAUGGACAUCUGAAUCAAGACAAUCAUCAGUUUGUUUUGACUGUCAAAGAAGUGGACAAAAGAAACAGGACAGGGAGAGGGAGGAGACACCCAGGCACUGAAGGAUGAGCCCAACGAGCAUGCCUUCCUCUUCCCUUGUGAAAUAGCAUAGUUUUAAGGAGGCCUAGAAAAUUCUACAGGAGAAGGGAUAUACCAAUACUAUCAAAGGGAGUUGAUGAGGAAACCAUGAUGAGGGACUAUCUUAUGGGUGAGCCCACCUGAUACCCAGCGAUGCCCUGACUAGGUACAGAGAAGGUAGUUAAGACAUCUCAGGGAUAGGUGGUGGUGUAAGUAGGUAAGACUAACUUGACUAUGUCCUAGGGACUGUUACAUAUUAAAAUAUUACCUCUAGAUCAUGGGAGUUCCCUAGUGGUCACUCACACUCAACAAGUCUAAGGAAUAGAAUGAUUUAGCUUUAAUGGGAAAAAUAAAGUUAGUAGAAAUAUUGAAAUGAUGUAAUAUCUGCUUUACAUGUAACUAAUGUGAAGCCAAAAGAUCUUAUGUACUAUACUAUGACAUUUGAUAAAGAAAGCAAUAGAUAAAAUAAAGAAAGCAGAGAAAUAGGAUUGAUAGAAUAAGAAAAUAGAACUAGGAUUUACUAAUAGUUUAGAUAGCCUAGAUAAAGUAGUAUAGGGUUAGAAUAAUUAGGAAUAGAGGUAAGCUUAGUUUUUGAAGAAUAAAACAUUAUAAAAGUCUAUGACAUGCAGAGAAAAUUGGAGUAAGGUAUGUUGAAGAAAUGAUGAGAUUACUGUAUGUCCUAAAACAUCUAAUUAAUAUAGCUUACAUAAUAACCAGUCUUAAAGUAGUAUCCCAAAUUGACAAUAAGUAAAAUAACAAUGCUUAUAGGGAAAUUUGUUUAAUCUCUAUGCAAAAAGAGAAUAGAUGGAAUUAGGAUUAUCAGAAGUCAUUGUCAGAAGAUUAAAAUGUUUUAUUAUUUCAGAAAUAGAAAAGCUGGUGGAAAGAUGUUGGUCUUCAUGGAAGGAAUGGAGGUCCACCAACUCUAUUCUGUUAAUCACAGUAACAAAGGGGGGCGAACCCUGGUAGAAUGUUCAAUUGUAUGAUUUGUUACAUUUGUUACCUUGGGUUACAGAUUUUUAUAAUUUUUCACUGUCAUUAUUUGAUUAAUGUUUUAGUUGAAUGUCCCUUUGGGGAAAAAAAAGUCUGCUGAAUACCAUAACUGUAACUUUAAUGGUUAGUGGCAUUUAUAUGAUACUAACCAGAUACUUUCCCAACAGAUACAGUACUUGAUUCAUACAGUGCUUUCCUUUGCGCAUAGUUGGGAUCUAUGCGCAAGGGGGGAGUAGGAAAGAGGAAUAUUUUUAUUGAAGGAUUUUCAUAGUUACAGGAAGUUAUUGAUGAUAGUCUAACAGAUGUCAUGUGUAUAGUCAUAAUAUCAGGAAAGUGAUAGUGUUGUCUAAACCAUUAGGUCCCAGAAGGAUCAUAAAAACACUUAGUUA
Alosa alosa (allis shad) is the source of this 3287-nucleotide long non-coding RNA. RefSeq lists it as uncharacterized. The record is from RefSeq and is a predicted model, not a curated record. Lineage: Eukaryota; Metazoa; Chordata; Actinopteri; Clupeiformes; Clupeidae. The transcript has 2 exons.